RNAcentral lists this ribosomal RNA (441 nucleotides) under uncultured bacterium. Its description in RNAcentral is "partial 16S ribosomal RNA". It matches the Rfam family "Bacterial small subunit ribosomal RNA", at positions 28 to 507 of the family's 1533-position model. The record is from RNAcentral.
GAUGAACGCUGGCGGCGUGCCUAAUACAUGCAAGUCGAACGGGGAGUAGCAAUACUCUUAGUGGCGAACGGGUGAGUAACGCGUUGGUACCUGCCCCGAAGCGGGGGAUAACGGACCGAAAGGUCCGCUAAUACCCCAUGUGCUCGGUAACGAGUAAAGGUGAAAACCACUUUGGGAGGGGCCUGCGUCCCAUCAGCUAGUUGGUAAGGUAACGGCUUACCAAGGCGAUGACGGGUAGGGGACCUGAGAGGGUGGCCCCCCACAAUGGAACUGAAACACGGUCCAUACACCUACGGGUGGCAGCAGUAGGGAAUAUUGGCAAUGGGCGCAAGCCUGAACCAGCAACGCCGCGUGUGCGAUGACGGCCUUCGGGUUGUAAAGCACUUUUGACUGGGACGAGGAAGGACGGUACCGGUCGAAUCAGCCUCGGCUAACUACGUG